GCAUCACAGUGGGCAUCAACCAGGACAUUUUACAGCAAGCCUUAGAAAACAGUGGGCUGUCUUCAAUUCCAGCUGCAGCACAUCCUAAUGACUCCUGCCAUGCCAAGACCUCUGCACCACACGCUCAAAACCCAGAUGUUUCCAGCGUUUCCAAUGAGCAGACGGACCCCACAGACGCAGAGCAAGAAAAAGAACAGGAAAGCCCGGAGAAACUGGAUAAAAAAGAAAAAAAAAUGAUAAAGAAGAAGUCACCGUUUCUACCUGGCUCCAUCCGCGAGGAGAACGGCGUGCGCUGGCAUGUGUGUCCCUACUGCGCCAAGGAGUUCCGCAAGCCCAGCGACCUGGUCCGCCACAUCCGCAUCCACACCCACGAGAAGCCCUUCAAGUGCCCGCAGUGCUUCCGCGCCUUCGCCGUGAAGAGCACGCUGACAGCGCACAUCAAGACGCACACCGGCAUCAAGGCAUUCAAGUGCCAGUACUGCAUGAAGAGCUUCUCCACCUCUGGCAGCCUCAAGGUGCACAUUCGCCUGCACACAGGUAUGGCCUCAGGGCUGGGCCCACACGGGCACUGGCCGCACACAUUACUGCGCACAUAUACCAAACACAGGUAUGGCACACAG
RNAcentral lists this small RNA (620 nucleotides) under Pan troglodytes (chimpanzee). RNAcentral's name for it is "retained intron". Lineage: Eukaryota; Metazoa; Chordata; Mammalia; Primates; Hominidae. The record is from RNAcentral.